AUUGAUACCGACCUAUUUAUAUUAAAGUAACUGUUUGCGAUCGAUGUUACGCCGUCACGAAUGUGGCUUUUUAUGACACAUGUCACACGUAAUUGCUUAGGAGCGGUACAGUCCCUCGGGUUCCUUACGAUGCGGACGCUGGAUGGAUGCUGUGCGAUAUUGAUCUUUAUUGUUUAGACGAAAUUGAAAUAAUUAAAAGUUAACGGCCUUUUAGUUAUUGACUAUCAAUUUACAUUGGUCAGAAAUAAGUUGUUUUCGAUGUUUGAAUUGUAUUGUGAAAUUGUUUUCCCAAAUCUAAGAUAAAUUCGCGGCAGAUACUGUGACGAACUCUCAAAGCAAUUUGGAACGUAACAGCCUUCAACAGGGACGUAUUUUGCAUGCUGCCAUCGGCAGUUCAUUUUAAGUGGGUGCUGCUCUUACACUGUGAAAUUAAUUGGAGCAGACUCCCAUGCGGUUGAAACACGAAGUCGGAUAUUGUUCGCAAUAGCGUCAUAUUAACAAAUACAUUAUGGAUGACACACACAAGUUAAUAGCUUCAACUUGCCAAUUUUUAUCGCAAAGCAGUCAUGCGUUUCGUCUUGAUGGUUGUAUUUAUACAACUCGAAUCUCAUGUCCGAUAAUGGCAAAGGCAUUAGCCCAAACACACAGAAUAAAAUAAUGCGCAAAACACAAAA
Bombyx mori (domestic silkworm) is the source of this 674-nucleotide long non-coding RNA. RefSeq lists it as uncharacterized. The record is from RefSeq and is a predicted model, not a curated record. The transcript is spliced from 3 exons. Lineage: Eukaryota; Metazoa; Arthropoda; Insecta; Lepidoptera; Bombycidae.